UUUUUUUUUUUUUUUUGAGACAGAGUCUCGCUCCGUCACCCAGACUGGAGUGCAGUGGCGCAGUCUCGGCUCACUGCAAACUCCGCCUCCCGGGUUCACGCCAUUCUCCUGCCUCAGCCUCUCCGAGUAGCUGGGACUACAGGCGCCCGCCAACACGCCCGGCUAAUUUUUUUGUAUUUUUAGUAGAGACGGGGUUUCACCGUGGUCUCGAUCUCCUGACCUCGUGAUCCGCCCACCUCGGCCUCCCAAAGUGCUGGGAUUACAAGCGUGAGCCACUGCGCCCGGCCUCAAUCUACGUGAUUUUUUAAGGGCAAAAUAUCACUUGUUCUAAUCACAGCUUUAAGGCACCUUCACUCAUUUAUAUUCAAGACCUUUCAAUGUCAUUAAAAACAGUUUCCUAGGACCCUUACUUUUCUGCUAACUCUAGUCUUAUAAUAUUUUUCUCUUCUGCCUGGCACUUGGUUAGAGUAUUUGUCUCCCAUAGAUACCAUUUGGCCUCGUAUUGGCUCUCAGUCUUCUUGGCUGAAGGUUCUGUUCAUGUGGCUUUUCCUUCUUCUCAUGCCUCUGGCAGAAUGCCUUGUUUUAGCUUAGGUUCUAAGAACCAUACUUCAGUAUUAGAUCACUUGGUGAGCAUCUUGGCUCUUUUCAAAAUUCCAAACCUUAUUUAGAAUAUUCAUGUGACUACGCAUGUUCAAAUUUUUUUUUUGUAAUUCCCCAGUUUCUUUCUAAAAAGAGUUAAUGAAAUGUCUGAAUGACAGAGGCAAUAAUUUUCUAUUAGUUUGUUGGCUCUUUCCUAAAAACCAGGAGAAAUUUUGCUUUCAUACUUAUUUUCUGAAUCAUAUGAAUGAAAACUACAUCAGCGUUUAUUAGGCUGGAAAUCUGUUAUCUCCCCAGGAGAAGCAACACUGCUGGGGCAUUGUGUUCCUGGUAGCUUCUACCCAGACCACACAGGAGAGAAACAGCGUGGUGGAGAAGGGAAGUGUGAACGCUGACUUCUGUGUGCCAGGAGAGCAGAAAGUGUGUGUGCUCUAAGGCCUAUCCCAAUAUGACGAAGCUACUUCGGAGUACUUUGAGAUAGUACUACUUCAUUUUAUAAACAUUUUCUGGAAUUGGUUGCA
This is an RNA transcript of Symphalangus syndactylus (siamang), 1118 nucleotides long. RefSeq lists it as uncharacterized. The record is from RefSeq and is a predicted model, not a curated record. NCBI's taxonomy places the organism in Eukaryota, Metazoa, Chordata, Mammalia, Primates, Hylobatidae.